UGCUUAAAAUGUGGUUGGUGAAUGGAAUCUUGAGUUGAAAGCAUCAGCGAAACAGAUCUUGGAAGAGUUCUUUCACACAAGGAUCUUCCAACCAUCAACAACAGAACUUUUUGUCAUGCAGAAGAAUUAAAAAGGGUUUCUAUUUAAAGGCAAUAUAUAAAGCAGUCCCAAUUUUCUUUUUCUCAAACGUAAUAUCAUUGACAACAGGUAAAAAAAUUGCCAUCAACAUAAAACUAUAAAUUUAAAGCAAAAUAGAAAAAACAGGCAA
This 268-nucleotide unclassified non-coding RNA is filed under the name Hevea brasiliensis (rubber tree). The record is from RNAcentral. Lineage: Eukaryota; Viridiplantae; Streptophyta; Magnoliopsida; Malpighiales; Euphorbiaceae.